This 29-nucleotide non-coding RNA is filed under the name Mus musculus (house mouse). Lineage: Eukaryota; Metazoa; Chordata; Mammalia; Rodentia; Muridae. The record is from RNAcentral.
UACUAUUUAUAUUCAUUAUGAUCUCCUGG